This 74-nucleotide transfer RNA is filed under the name Dunckerocampus dactyliophorus (ringed pipefish). Its description in RNAcentral is "tRNA-Lys". It matches the Rfam family "tRNA". Rfam says of the family: Transfer RNA (tRNA) molecules are approximately 80 nucleotides in length. Their secondary structure includes four short double-helical elements and three loops (D, anti-codon, and T loops). Further hydrogen bonds mediate the characteristic L-shaped molecular structure. tRNAs have two regions of fundamental functional importance: the anti-codon, which is responsible for specific mRNA codon recognition, and the 3' end, to which the tRNAs corresponding amino acid is attached (by aminoacyl-tRNA synthetases). tRNAs cope with the degeneracy of the genetic code in two manners: having more than one tRNA (with a specific anti-codon) for a particular amino acid; and 'wobble' base-pairing, i.e. permitting non-standard base-pairing at the 3rd anti-codon position. The record is from RNAcentral. Lineage: Eukaryota; Metazoa; Chordata; Actinopteri; Syngnathiformes; Syngnathidae.
CGUUAAGAAGCUAAGCAGGGCAUAGCGUCAGCCUUUUAAGCUGAAGACUGGUGACUCCCAACCACCCUUAACGA